Molecule: ribosomal RNA, 490 nt
Filed under: uncultured bacterium
Lineage: Bacteria
Description: partial 16S ribosomal RNA
Rfam family: Bacterial small subunit ribosomal RNA
Source: RNAcentral
AUUGAACGCUGGCGGCAGGCCUAACACAUGCAAGUCGAACGGUAACAGGAAGCAGCUUGCUGCUUCGCUGACGAGUGGCGGACGGGUGAGUAAUGUCUGGGAAGCUGCCUGAUGGAGGGGGAUAACUACUGGAAACGGUAGCUAAUACCGCAUAAUGUCGCAAGACCAAAGAGGGGGACCUUCGGGCCUCUUGCCAUCGGAUGUGCCCAGAUGGGAUUAGCUUGUUGGUGGGGUAACGGCUCACCAAGGCGACGAUCCCUAGCUGGUCUGAGAGGAUGAUCAGCGACACGGGAACUGAGACACGGACAAGACUCCUACGGGAGGCAGCAGUGGGGAAUAUUGCACAAUGGGCGCAAGCCUGAUGCAGCCAUGCCGCGUGUAUGAAGAAGGCCUUCGGGUUGUAAAGUACUUUCAGCGGGGAGGAAGGGAGUACAGUUAAUACCUUUGCUCAUUGACGGUACCCGCAGAAGAAGCACCGGCUAACUCCGUG